RNAcentral lists this transfer RNA (64 nucleotides) under Ligia oceanica (common sea slater). RNAcentral's name for it is "tRNA-Asn". Lineage: Eukaryota; Metazoa; Arthropoda; Malacostraca; Isopoda; Ligiidae. The record is from RNAcentral.
UGAGGUAAAGCCAAAUAGAGGCAAAUCUUUGUUACUGAUUCAAUUGGAGAGUUUCCUACCUCAA